RNAcentral lists this small RNA (164 nucleotides) under Arabidopsis thaliana (thale cress). Its description in RNAcentral is "ATSL037170". Lineage: Eukaryota; Viridiplantae; Streptophyta; Magnoliopsida; Brassicales; Brassicaceae. The record is from RNAcentral.
AAUAUUGACUGCUUCUAAGCAAGUUUCGUUGGUUUUAGACUCUUUUGGAUGAAAAUGGGUAUAAGUGUUUUCUAAACACUCCUAAUCCAUCUCUAACUCUAAUAAUUAGUCGAUUGCACUGGAUUGUGACACAUUAUGACCAUAAAAACACUAACAAAGUUAUU